Pelobates cultripes (western spadefoot toad) is the source of this 659-nucleotide non-coding RNA. Lineage: Eukaryota; Metazoa; Chordata; Amphibia; Anura; Pelobatidae. The record is from the annotation of a GenBank genome assembly.
CUGAAAAUACAAUAUAAUAGUUAUAUAAUCUACAUGAUUGGCAUACAGUCAGACUGAGAUGACUGACUACCAUACAAUAUAAAAAAUAAAUUGCAAAAAAGUGAGAACCUCCGGAACGCUCAGAAAAAAGCAAUAUAGGUCUAGUGGGCUCUUUUCUUUCUCCACCCCAUGCGCUGCGGAGAGUAAAUACAUUAAAAAAGUACCCAGGAGAUUCUCAGUCUCACGUCUUAUAGACCUUGGCAUGUCUUCUUUGUGAUUUGUACUGAUUAUCUUAUAAAGUGUUGCUGGUUGCAGCUAUAAUUGACAUGUUUAAGGCUGCUUUUUUCCCUAGAUUUGUUUACUGAGCUUAGUUAUUAGCCGUUUAGCCGUUACAGUGAAUAUCACAAAUCUUUAAACUGAUUUCCAAGUGUGAGUGAAUUCAGCCUAUAGAAUAAGUGUGAAUCUCCUGCACUCUGAUUUAUUGUAUUAUUUUAAAGAUGCGGAAACUUCCUAGAAAAACAAGGCUAGACUGGUGGUAACUAUACAGAAACCUAGCCAUGUUUAGGAACAUUCCAACCAAGGUUUAAUUGACGAAUCACUUGAAUGUUCAGUGGGGCUGGGACUCACAUAACUGAGAAUUUGCAAUAUAUAAGCCUCAAUUUAAUAUUUUUGUAAAAGCU